CCCUUAGAUGUCCUGGGCUGCACGCGCGCUACACUGGAAGUUACGGAUUGAGAUACUACCUUGUCCGAAAUGGUCCGGGUAAUCACCUAAAAGCUUGUCAUAAUUGGAAUGGAUUAUUGUAACUAGUAAUCCUGAACGAGGAAUUCCUAGUAAGUCCCAGUCAACAGCUGGUACUGAUUACGUCCCUGCCCUUUGUACACACCGCCCGUCGCUACUACUGAUUGGACGUUUAAGCAAGAUUUUUAAACACUGACAGUGUGUAGUUCACGCUAUACUACAGUGAGACGAAGAAGAUCGAGCUUACUUGUCUAGAGGAAGUAAAAGUCGUAACA
This 332-nucleotide ribosomal RNA is filed under the name uncultured eukaryote. RNAcentral describes it as "partial 18S ribosomal RNA". It matches the Rfam family "Eukaryotic small subunit ribosomal RNA", at positions 1470 to 1796 of the family's 1831-position model. The record is from RNAcentral.